Long non-coding RNA from Cervus elaphus (red deer), 393 nucleotides. RefSeq lists it as uncharacterized. NCBI's taxonomy places the organism in Eukaryota, Metazoa, Chordata, Mammalia, Artiodactyla, Cervidae. The transcript has 2 exons. The record is from RefSeq and is a predicted model, not a curated record.
ACCCACUCCAGUGUUCUUGCCUGGAGAAUCCCAGGGACAGGAGGCUGGUGGGCUGCCGUCUACGGGGUCACACAGAGUCGGACACGACUGACGUGACUUAGCAGCAGCAGCACUUUAUAUACACCAUCUUCAGUCACAUGGGACGUGGGUUCAGUCCCUUGUCGGGGAACGAAGAUCCCACAGGCUUUGGAGCAACUAAGCCCACGUACAACUCCUGAACCCACAUGCCACACUAGAGAGUCCAUGCGACACAGCGAAAGAUCCCGCACAACACAGUGAAGACCCGGAAUGCCGCAACCAAGACCCCAUGCAGCCAGAUAAAUAUUUUAUAAAAAAGAAAAAAAAAAAAGAAAAAGGAAAAUUCUUUGAACCCAAUAAAGUCCUGGAUAAACA